UCCGUAGGUGACCUGCGGAAGGAUCAUUACCUAGAGUUGUAGGCUUUGCCUGCUAUCUCUUACCCAUGUCUUUUGAGUACCUUACGUUUCCUCGGCGGGUCCGCCCGCCGAUUGGACAAUUUAAACCAUUUGCAGUUGCAAUCAGCGUCUGAAAAAACUUAAUAGUUACAACUUUCAACAACGGAUCUCUUGGUUCUGGCAUCGAUGAAGAACGCAGCGAAAUGCGAUAAGUAGUGUGAAUUGCAGAAUUCAGUGAAUCAUCGAAUCUUUGAACGCACAUUGCGCCCCUUGGUAUUCCAUGGGGCAUGCCUGUUCGAGCGUCAUUUGUACCUUCAAGCUCUGCUUGGUGUUGGGUGUUUGUCUCGCCUCUGCGUGUAGACUCGCCUCAAAACAAUUGGCAGCCGGCGUAUUGAUUUCGGAGCGCAGUACAUCUCGCGCUUUGCACUCAUAACGACGACGUCCAAAAGUACAUUUUUACACUCUUGACCUCGGAUCAGGUAGGGAUACCCGCUGAACUUAAGCAUAUCAAUAAGCGGAGGA
This 540-nucleotide ribosomal RNA is filed under the name Didymella sp. CC. RNAcentral describes it as "eukaryotic LSU rRNA". The stretch from base 170 to 323 matches the Rfam family "5.8S ribosomal RNA". Lineage: Eukaryota; Fungi; Ascomycota; Dothideomycetes; Pleosporales; Didymellaceae. The record is from RNAcentral.